CCUACGGGUGGCAGCAGUCGAGAAUCAUUCACAAUGGGGGAAACCCUGAUGGUGCGACGCCGCGUGGGGGAAUGAAGGUCUUCGGAUUGUAAACCCCUGUCAUGUGGGAGCAAAUUAAAAAGAUAGUACCACAAGAGGAAGAGACGGCUAACUCUGUGCCAGCAGCCGCGGUAAUACAGAGGUCUCAAGCGUUGUUCGGAAUCACUGGGCGUAAAGCGGGCGUAGGCUGUUUCGUAAGUCGUGUGUGAAAGGCGCGGGCUCAACCCGCGGACGGCACAUGAUACUGCGAGACUAGAGUAAGGGAGGGGGAACGGGAAUUCUCGGUGUAGCAGUGAAAUGCGUAGAUAUCGAGAGGAACACUCGUGGCGAAGGCGGGUUCCUGGACAUUAACUGACGCUGAGGCACGAAGGCCAGGGGAGCGAAAGGGAUUAGAUACCCUGGUAGUC
RNAcentral lists this ribosomal RNA (446 nucleotides) under uncultured bacterium. Its description in RNAcentral is "partial 16S ribosomal RNA". It matches the Rfam family "Bacterial small subunit ribosomal RNA", at positions 338 to 795 of the family's 1533-position model. The record is from RNAcentral.